RNAcentral lists this long non-coding RNA (6931 nucleotides) under Nicotiana tabacum (common tobacco). RNAcentral describes it as "long non-coding RNA (NTAB_LNC002721)". The record is from RNAcentral. Lineage: Eukaryota; Viridiplantae; Streptophyta; Magnoliopsida; Solanales; Solanaceae.
UCUCUCUCUCUCUCUCUCGUUCAAUCUCAAAGAGAAUCGCUUCCAUAGUCACCUCCUCCGUUAGCCCCUGCCCAGAAGGUCAUCUCCCUCAAAGACAAAGGGCUUCAUAUUAGUUAGUAUCUAACUAAAAGUUCAUGUGAUCAAUAAGAACCAAUUCUAGUUUUUCAAUUUUUAGUAUUUAUUCCUCUUUUGCAUAAAGAUUUAAUCCCAAUAAAUUUCCUUCACCUUUAUGUGUUUUCUUCUCUUUGUUGUAGUUAGAUUUUAAAGAACAUUGCUUCAUAGUCGUCUCCUCCAAUAGACAUGAGCCGUUGCCGCUUCUCGUUGGGUCGUCUCUCUCCGUCUUUUGACGUCAGCCCGUCAAUUAUCACUAUCAGGUUUUUCACUUGCUUAUAUUGCAGAUUUUUGUAAUUUAUGCUUUGAAAAAAAAUUAGAUUGUUUGAAUGGAUUUUGGCUGAGAAACAAAUUUCAAGUUGAGAUAUACCAUGUUAAAUGUCUUUUUUUAUUAUAUUUUUAAUCUUAAUGGAAAAUGGGGAAAGGUGAGAAAUUGAGAGUAAUAAACUUGCUUAUAUUGAGAAGUUAAGCACUUUUUCUCUUUAGCAAUCUCAGAUUGUUGUUGUUGGUUUUGAGUGAGAAAUCCUUUUUUAGUUUGUACUUUUGAUAUGGAAUAGAAAUCAGUUGUGUUCCUUGAUGCGGUGAAGGACAUUUUCCUUGGCUCAUUGUUGAAUCAACAGUUAUGUUUUGAGUGAGAAAUCAGUUAUGUUUCCUUCAUUACAAUAGUUCUGUAAUCUUAUGAGUGAUCGUCACUUGGGUUGUCUUCAGCCACAUUAAUUCUUCUAGUUUAAAUUUAAGGUUAAACAUAUACAAAAUUAUUCUUCUAAUUCUAAUUCUAAUUUGGUAAUCCAAUUUGUGUUACAAUGAAGAGAUUUUACCCUCUAGUAUCUUCUAAGUUGCCAUAACCAAGUUCAUCCUCUCCAAUUGCUAUUCUCGUGGAACAAAAUUUGAACCAAUUAGAAGAGCAACCUCAAUCCUCUAAAAGACAAAGGCAAGGAAUAGAUCUUGAUUCUUUACCGACUGAUCCAAAGGAGAGAAUACCCACUAGAGAUUAUCAUCCAAAUGAGCGUGAUGAGAUUAGAAGAGAAUAUCUCUGAAGAGGUCCUUACCAACCCCGAUAUCAUAAGUUUCCUCAAAGAGAUUUUUCGAGCUUAAAGCGCAGUUUCAAUCCUAAAUGGUUUGAUGAAUAUGAUAAUUGGUUGGAGUACAAUGUGAUAGAAAAUGGAGCUUAUUUUUUGUAUUGUUACUUGUUUCAAGAUGAAGCAUUCAUCAAGGUGGAGGUGAUGUAUUUUCAAGUUUAGGAUUUAAGAGUUGACAAAAAAAGAAGAGAUUCGAUAUGCAUAUUGGUAAGUCGAGCAGUAUUCAUAAUCAUGCAAAAAGGAAAUGUGAAGAUUUAUUAAAACAAAAAAGAGUCAAUUCAAACUUCAUUUGAUAGGCAAUCCAGUCAAACCAAGCUCGAAUACACAAUUCGCUUAAAGGCUUCAAUUGAGGUUGUGAGGCUCCUAUUAAAUCAAGGAAUGACAUUCUGUGGACAUCGUGAAGAUGAAUCAUCAUUAAACAAGGGUAACGUUCUUGAGAUUCUUUCAUGGUAUGCAGAGAAGUGCGAUAAAAUCCGUGAUCUUGUGUUGAAAAAGGCUCCAAAGAAUGAUCAGUUGACCUCUCAUAAAAUUCAAAAAAAUAUUAUCAUUGCAUGUAAAAUUGAAACACUUAAAGCAAUUAUGGACGAUCUAAAUGGAGACCUUUUUGCAUUGCUAAUUGAUGAAUCAUGUGAUGUAUCACACAAAUAGCAAUUAGCUAUUGUCUUGUGAUAUGUUAAUAGAUGUGGAUCUGUGGUGGAGCAUUUUACUAGGAUCGUUCAUGUUCGUAAUACUAGUGCUUUAUGUUUAAAGAAAGCAAUUGUUGAUUACCUUGCUCAACAUUCUUUAAGUUUAUCUUAUGUGUGUGGACAAUGUUAUGAUGGAGCAAGCAACAUGCAAGAGGAUUUACACGGCCUCAAAACUUUGAUUCAAUAAGAAAGUAAAUCCGUUUAUUCCAUUCAUUAUUUUGCACACCAACUUCCAUUGACUCUUAUUGGCGGUAUCUAAAAAGUGUCUUGAAGUGGGAGAAGUUGUAUUGUUCGUUUCUAAUGUAUUGAAUAUAGUGGGAGGCUCUUUUAAACAUAUGGAUGAUCUUCGAGAAUCUCAAGCAGAAAAAGUUCAAGAGGCAUUAGACAUGGGUGAACUUGAAACUGGUAGGGGUUUGAAUCAAGAACUUGGUCUUGCCAGAGUUGUCGAUACUCGUUGGAGUUCACACUACAAAUCUUUUAAGAACUUUAUUUCUAUGUUUGGCUCAAUUAUUGAUGUUCUUGAUACUAUCAUUGUUGAUGCCCGGAAUUUAGAAGAAAGAGCUAAGGCAAAGGGAUAUCUUAGCACUUGUCAAACAUUUGAGGUUACUUUCAUGUUGCACCUAAUGAGAGAUGUUUUGGAGAUCACAAAUGAGCUUAAUACGUCCUUACAAAAAAAAAGGAGCAAGAUAUUGCAAAUGCUAUUCUACUUGUUUAAGUGAAAAAGAAACAGUUGCAAAAUCUAAGAGAAGAAAAAUGGGAUUCACUUAUUGAUAAGGUGUCUACAUUUUGUGUCAAGUAUAAUAUUUUGAUACCAAACUUUGAUGACUUCUAUGUUUACUCUGGAAGAUCUCGACGUAAAGUUGUUGAUUAUACUGUUUUACAUCACUAUCGUGUUGAUAUAUUUUUUAAGAUUAUUGAUUGGCAAGUUCAAGAACUCAAUGCUCGUUUUAAUGAGGUGACAACGAACUUGCUUGUUGGAGUAGCUUGCUUAAAUCCAGUUGAUUCAUUUUCCAGUUUUGACAUAAAUAAAAUAUUGAUGAUGGCUGAAUUGUAUCCUGGCGAUUUUGAUGAGAAUAUAAUGGUUACGCUCAAGAAUUAACUUGAAACUUAUAUUGUUGAUGUUCGUGAUGUUGAUGAAAGGUUCUCCAAAUCUACAAGGACUUGUUGAUAUUUCUGACACACUAGUUAAAACAAAGAAGUAUUUGAAUUAUCCAUUUUGUUUCACCUUGUGAAAUUUGCUUUGCUUCUACCAGUUGCCACUGCUAUAGUUGAAAGAACUUUCUCGGCGAUGAAGUUGAUCAAGAGUGAAUUGCGGAACUGAAUGAAUGACGAAUUCAUGAGCUGUUAUUUGGUACCUUAUGUAGAAAGAAAAAUAUUUAACACCAUUUUUGAUGAGACUAUUAUGAAUACGCUUCAAGAAAUGAGAACUCGUAGAGAACAUUUCUAAUAAUAUAUUUUAUUCAUAUAUAGUUUUUGUUGACCUCUUUGUAUAUUUAUUUCUUUGCAUUUUGAACCCGCUUGAUAAAAAUUUUGGGUCUGCCACUGGUCCUAACCGACCUUCUAUCUAAAAUUAAAUAUACACCAUUGUUACAAGUACAUGAGAAAAUUUUGUGCACUUUUCUCAAAGUAUUUUGGCACAUUAAUCUGUUCGCGAUAGUUUUCGUUAAAGACAAGGACAAGUACUAGAAAAUUUACUAAUGACCAACUAUAAUAUUCUAAGGGAUUGUUAAUUAUGGGAUAAACAAAAAUAUCCUAUGGGCUGAUAUCCCAUGAGAUUAACUAUCCCCGAAUAGGUAAACUAUCGUUUUAAUAUAAAAUUAUAUUGGCAUUAGUUAAUAGCACAAUCAAACAUGGGAAUAAAUACAAUCCAAAUUUUAUUCCGAUAUUAAUAUCCUUAUCCCGGUAAUUACACGACCCCUAAAGUAAAGGAUAAUAUUAAGAUAUUUCAUGCAAGAAUGAUAUUGCUAACAUAACAUAUAGAUAUAUUGGUAUUUUAUAACAUUGUCAAAGUCACUUUUUUCCUUCUCUUUUUCGUCCCCCCCCCCCACCCACACACACACACCAAAAAAAACCCAUUUUAGAUCAAUGAGCACCAAGUAAUAGUGAUUUCUGAACUAUUGAAAAGAAAAAUAAGGAAACAAGCUAAGUUGAUGAACUGGUUUAUUCAACAUUUUUAUUGAUAAGAGAUUGUAGGUAUUAGUUAAAUUAGUCGAGGUGCACAUGAAAUAAUUGUAACGACCCGACCGAUCGUUUUGAACUUUUGCACUUUGCUCGCCAGUUCCCAGGCAUGACUAGCCCCGUGUGAUGUAUUAUGGCUUAUGUAAAUCAUCAGUUUUGGUUUUCAGGGUAAUCGGAAUGAAUUUGGAAGAACAAUUCUCAGUUUGAAGCUUAAAAUUUGAAAGGUUUGACCAAGUAUUAACUUAUUAUUAUAUGAUAUCGAAUUGUAAUUUUUACGAUUUGGUUAGCUUUGUUAGGUGAUUUGGGACUUAGGAGCGUGAUCGGAAUGUAUUUUGGAGAUCCGUGGAAGGUUUAGGCUUGAAUUGACGAAAUUGAAAAUUUGGCAUUUUUCGGUUGGUAGUGAAAAUUUUGAUAUUAGGGUCAGAAUAAAAUUUCGAAAAUUGGAGUACGUCUGUUGUGCCAUUUGUGAUGUGUGUGUAAAAUUUCAGGUCAUUCGGACGAGGUUUGAUAGACUUUUUGAUCAAAAGCAGAAUUUAGAAGUUUUGAAAUUCUUAGGCUUGAAUCCGAGGGUGAUUUGAUGUUUUGAUGUUGUUUUUAGCGUUCCGAAGGUUGGAACAAGUUUGAAUGAGGUUAUGGGAUGUGUUGGCAUAUUUGGUUGAGGUCCCGAGGUCCUCAGGUGUGUUUCAGGUGGUUAACAUAUCAAUUUUUGAACUUUGGACUUGGCAGAUUUGUUGGUGUUUUUUGUUGCAGAAAACUCUUCUUCGCGUUCGCGAUAGGCCCUCGCGUUCGCUAAGGAUUGUUGAGUGAGGUUGCAGGUCUGUUCUUCGCGUUCGUGAUGCAGGUCCCGCAUUCGCGAAGGUUCAGGUGAUCAAGUUACGCGUUCGUGACCAGGAUAUUGCGUUCGCGUAAGGUCGAGUUGUGUGGUCUUCGCGUUCGAGAUAGGGCCUCGCGUUCGCUAAGGGUUGUUGAGUGAGGCUGCAGGUCUGUUCUUCGCGUUCGCGAUGCAGGUCCCGUGUCCGCGAAGGUUCAGAAGAUCAAGUUACGCGUUCGUGACCAGGAUAUCGCGUUCACGUAGGGUCGAGCUGUGUGGUCUUCGCGCUCGCAGGUGGGCCCUCGCGUUCGCGAAGGAGAGAAUUUUGGUCAGAGAAGCUUUGUGCUUCGCGAACGCGAGGGUGCUGCCGCGUUCGCGAUGAAGAAAAUAUCUGGGCAGUCAGAUUAUAUUUUAAAAAUCGAGGGUUUAAGUCCAAUAUCAGAAAAAACCAUUAGAGAGCUCGGGAGAAGGUGAAAUUUGAGGAUAUUUUCAGUGGAAUAAUUGUGGUAAGUAUUCUUCAUUCAUAUUUGGUUUAAUUCCAUGAUUUAGUCUUGAAUUUCAUCAUUUAAUUUGAGAAAUUAAAGUGGAAAUUGGGAAAAAUGGAAGAAAAGUUUGAGAAUUCUUUUGGGGAUUUGAAUGGGCAAUUGAGGUCGUAUUUUGAUGAAUUUGUUAUGGGUAGACUCGUGAGAGAAUAAGGAUUCUAGUUUUGUGGUUUUUAUCGAAUUUUCGAGACGUGGGCCUGGGGGUCAGGUUUGGCCAAAUUCGGGGCUCCUGGUGUAAAUUGGUUAUUUUCGAGUGGGCUUUGUUCCCUUGGAAUAUUUUGAUGGUAUGAACCUGUUUUUGGUUAGAUUUGGAGCAUUCGGAGGCCGAGUCGAGAGGUAAAAGCAUCGCGGGCUAGAGUUUGGACCGGAUUGAGGUCAGUAAUGAUUGUAAAUGUUUGUCCGGAGGGUAUGAAACCCCAGAUUUUACAUCAUUGUGCUGCUUUGAGGUGACGCGCACGCUAGAUGACGAGCGUGGGGUCAUGCACCGUUGGGGAUUGUGACUUAGUCCGUCCCGUAUGACUGUUAAACUGCAUAUUUGAUUGAAAGCCAUUCGAUAUUAUUGUGUUUUGGAAAGUAUUAUCAUGUUUUGGGCUGAAUGCCAUAUUUGGGCCUCGUGCCAACUGUUUUGGACCCUUAAGGGAUUUUUACUACUAUUCCUCACUGUUUUGACUUCAUAUUUGUACUCAAUCAUGUUGUAUACUACUGUUUUCAUAACUCAACCGUAUUUACUCUGUUUUGACAUUUUAAAUGAUAUUUUGGGUUGAGCAUCAUGUUUUACUGUGCCCGAGUGGCUUGAGAGAUUUCUGACUAAGUGAGGUCGAGGGCCUGUGUUGUGAGGAUAUUAUGAGAUCGGGAUGCGCGCCGCAGCAGUGUGUACUGAUUCAUGAUUUUGAGGCCGAGGGCCUGAUUUGUUAUGCCAUGAGGUGGCUUAUUAUGAGGCCGAGGGCCUGUUUGAUUAUGCCACGAGAUGACUUGUUAUUGCGCUUGGACGAGCCCCUCUAGGAGUCUGUACACCCCCAUUGAGCGCGGGUACCCAGUGUGAGUGAUAUGAUGUAGCCCGAGGGGUUGUUGUUGUUUCAUAUUGUUGUCCGAGGGGAUGUUCUUGAUCCAUGUUUUGCCCGAGGGGCAGUUCUUGAUUCAUGGUAUGCCCGAGGGGCUUAUUGCGAGUGAUUGUGAGGUAGCCCGAGGGGCUUUCUGUUGAUAUUAUGCCCGAGGGCGGUUUAUGGUACAUGUUUUGCCCGAGGGGCUGUUUACGUUCUAUCAUUUUUACUCAUUGUUUUAAUCACUCGUUUGAAACUAUUAAAAGUUGUUUUAAAAGGUUUUUUUUACUGAAACUGAGCUUGAUUUAUGAAGUAAAUGAUUUCUGUACUGUUUUGGAGAUGUACUGCAUUUGCUGUAGCGUUAUGACGUGGUUUACGUGUUUUCUUACUGCUCAGCUUUCAUUUACUUUUAUUUCUUACUGAGUUGGUGUAUUCACAUUACUUCCUGCACCUUGUAUGCAGAUUCAGGUAUUUUUGAAUCCGG